Molecule: ribosomal RNA, 114 nt
Filed under: Acidovorax sp. Leaf76
Lineage: Bacteria; Pseudomonadati; Pseudomonadota; Betaproteobacteria; Burkholderiales; Comamonadaceae
Source: RNAcentral
CAAUGCGCUCCUGCGCAUGCCGCUCCCACUCCUUCCCAUCCCGAACAGGACAGUGAAACGACUUUGCGCCGAUGAUAGUGCGGGUUCCCGUGUGAAAGUAGGUCAUCGUCAGGC